RNAcentral lists this ribosomal RNA (253 nucleotides) under uncultured bacterium. RNAcentral's name for it is "partial 16S ribosomal RNA". It matches the Rfam family "Bacterial small subunit ribosomal RNA", at positions 524 to 776 of the family's 1533-position model. The record is from RNAcentral.
UACGGGGGGGGCAAGCGUUGUUCGGAAUUACUGGGCGUAAAGGGCUCGUAGGCGGCCAACUAAGUCAGACGUGAAAUCCCCCAGCUUAACUGGGGAACUGCGUCUGAUACUGGAUGGCUUGGAUUCGGGAGAGGAAUGCGGAAUUCCAGGUGUAGCGGUGAAAUGCGUAGAUAUCUGGAGGAACACCGGUGGCGAAGGCGGCAUUCUGGACCGACAUUGACGCUGAGGAGCGAAAGCCAGGGGAGCAAACGGG